Molecule: long non-coding RNA, 1002 nt
Filed under: Oncorhynchus kisutch (coho salmon)
Lineage: Eukaryota; Metazoa; Chordata; Actinopteri; Salmoniformes; Salmonidae
Description: lncRNA (ENSOKIG00005048569.1)
Source: RNAcentral
UCUCGCUCUGUAUCUCUCUCUCUCUCCCUGUAUCUCUCUCUUGCUCUCUCUCUCUCUCUCUCUCUCUCUGUAUCUCUCUCUCUCUCCCUGUAUCUCUCUCUUGCUCUCUCUCUCUCUCUCCCUGUAUCUUUCUCACUCUGUAUUUCUCUCUCUCUCUCUCUGUAUCUCUCUCUCUCUCCCUGUAUCUUUCUCACUCUUGCUCUCUCUCUCUCCCUGUAUCUCUCUCUCUAUAUCUCUCUCUCUCUCUCCCUGUAUCUCUCUCUCUGUAUCUCUCUCUCUCCCUGUAUCUCUCUCUCUGUAUCUCUCUCUCUCUCCCUGUAUCUCUCUCUCUGUAUCUCUCUCUCUCCCUGUAUCUCUCUCUCUGUAUCUCUCUCUCUCUCCCUGUAUCUUUCUCGCUCUGUCUCUCUCUCUCUCCCUGUAUCUCUCUCUCUGUAUCUCUCUCUCUCUCUCCCUGUAUCUUUAUCACUCUGUAUCUCUCUCUCUCCCUGUAUCUCUCUCUCUGUAUCUCUCUCUCUCCCUGUAUCUCUCUCUCUGUAUCUCUCUCUCUGUAUCUCUCUCUCUCCCUGUAUCUUUAUCACUCUGUAUCUCUCUCUCUCUGUAUCUUUCUUUGCUCUGUAUCUCUCUCUCUCUCCCUUUAUCUUUCUCACUCUGUAUUUCUCUCUCUCUCCCUGUAUCUUUCUCGCUCUGUCUCUCUCUCUCUGUCUCUCUCUCUCUGUCUGUGUCUCUCUCUGUAUCUCUCUCUCUCUCCCUGUAUCUUUCUCACUCUGUAUCUCUCUCUCUCCCUGUAUCUUUCUCACUCUGUAUUUCUCUCUCUCUCUCUCCCUGUAUCUUUCUCGCUCUGUCUCUCUCUCUCUGUCUGUGUCUCUCUCUGUCUCUCUCUCUCUCUCUCUGUAUCUCUCUCACUUCACUUUAGUACAUUCUGUGUCAUUGUUGAUCCUUUAUUAUUUUACUAUUAUGAUGAGUACUAAUACUAUACUGUGUAGCAGUGUUGGUAACAGGUAA